AGUGAACGCUGGCGGUAGGCCUAACACAUGCAAGUCGAACGGCAGCACAGUAAGAGCUUGCUCUUACGGGUGGCGAGUGGCGGACGGGUGAGGAAUACAUCGGAAUCUACUUUUUCGUGGGGGAUAACGUAGGGAAACUUACGCUAAUACCUCAUACGACCUACGGGUGAAAGCAGGGGAUCUUCGGACCUUGCGCGAUUGAAUGAGCCGAUGUCGGAUUAGCUAGUUGGCGGGGUAAAGGCCCACCAAGGCGACGAUCCGUAGCUGGUCUGAGAGGAUGAUCAGCCACACUGGAACUGAGACACGGUCCAGACUCCUACGGGAGGCAGCAGUGGGGAAUCUUGGACAAUGGGCGCAAGCCUGAUCCAGCCAUACCGCGUGGGUGAAGAAGGCCUUCGGGUUGUAAAGCCCUUUUGUUGGGAAAGAAAAGCAGCAGGUUAAUACCCCGCUGUUCUGACGGUACCCAAAGAAUAAGCACCGGCUAACUUCGUG
Molecule: ribosomal RNA, 492 nt
Filed under: uncultured bacterium
Lineage: Bacteria
Description: partial 16S ribosomal RNA
Rfam family: Bacterial small subunit ribosomal RNA
Source: RNAcentral